GUGACCCAGUAGGUAUUGUGUCCUUUCCCAUUCUGUUAAACAAGUCAAAAUUCUAAAAAAUACUGUAUUAUCUUGACCUCAUUUGUAAAUAAAAACACUCCCAACAUUCUACCACUGCAACAAUGCAUCAAAUUGAAAUUGAGCUAGGAAGGUGUCUGAUGGGAAGUGAAGGAGAGGUUAAGGAAGGCAAGACAAGUUCAUCAGGAUUCCAAUAUUUUCUGCUUCUGCAUGAUUGAGAGUUACUCCAAUUAAGGUGCUUUUCAUCUUCAGAGUCUUUUACAAACAGUCAUUAAUUACAGCUACGCAUGUAGUCAGGAGUAAAGAGAACAUCUCUCUGAUUUCAUAGCAUGAAGAUGGAAAUACCAGCAAUUUAUGUCUCUUCUUGCUCACAGCCUACAGUUGUUGGUCCAGAAAGGAAACACAAGCACUUCAAUAAGAGCAGCUGCUUUCACACCCAGAUAUUUCCUUAAUUUUAUCACUCGUGCAGGGAAAGCCAGCUUCCAUGCCUUGAAAACACUAAGGCAGCCCUGACGAGAGACAUAUAUAACAAGGGAUGGAGACACCCCUCCACCCCCUCCCCACCCAGCCAGCAGCCAGUAUCCAAUUCAUGCCUUCCUGAUAUGAAGCAGCCAGAUACGUGUGGACUUCUGUGCUUCUUCAAUUCUCUCCAGAGUUGAAAAGUUUCUUUUACUGCCCUGUGAAAGUCAGUUAGUGCCCCUGAAAGUUUCUAUAAACAUUUCUAUUUUUCUUGGUCCUUCAGACUUGAUAACUGCCUCAAUUAUUGUUACAAAAGCAACUAACUUAAUUUACUCAAAGUGGAGAGCAAUCUCUAUUUAUGAAUUGUU
Long non-coding RNA from Canis lupus familiaris (dog), 845 nucleotides. RefSeq lists it as uncharacterized. NCBI's taxonomy places the organism in Eukaryota, Metazoa, Chordata, Mammalia, Carnivora, Canidae. The record is from RefSeq and is a predicted model, not a curated record. The transcript has 6 exons.